This 253-nucleotide ribosomal RNA is filed under the name uncultured bacterium. Its description in RNAcentral is "partial 16S ribosomal RNA". It matches the Rfam family "Bacterial small subunit ribosomal RNA", at positions 524 to 776 of the family's 1533-position model. The record is from RNAcentral.
UACGUAGGGUGCAAGCGUUGUCCGGAAUUAUUGGGCGUAAAGAGCUCGUAGGCGGUCUGUCGCGUCUGCUGUGAAAACUCAGGGCUUAACCCUGAGCUUGCAGUGGGUACGGGCAGACUAGAGUGCGGUAGGGGAGACUGGAAUUCUCGGUGUAGCAGUGAAAUGCGUAGAUAUCGAGAGGAACACCAGUGGCGAAGGCGAGUCUCUGGACAAUUCCUGACGCUGAGGCACGAAAGCUAGGGGAGCAAACAGG